GACAAUCGGAACCAGUCAGGAAAGCUGGGCCUCAGAGGGUGAUAGCCCCGUACGAGUAAUGCGAUGAUGUAUCCACGAGUAAGGCGGGACACGUGUAAUCCUGUCUGAACACGGGGGGACCACCCUCCAAGCCUAAGUACUCCUCAGCGACCGAUAGCGAACAAGUACCGUGAGGGAAAGGUGAAAAGCACCCCGACGAGGGGAGUGAAACAG
Molecule: ribosomal RNA, 213 nt
Filed under: Chaetoceros affinis
Lineage: Eukaryota; Bacillariophyta; Thalassiosirophyceae; Chaetocerotales; Chaetocerotaceae
Description: partial Bacterial large subunit ribosomal RNA
Rfam family: Bacterial large subunit ribosomal RNA
Source: RNAcentral